Molecule: non-coding RNA, 358 nt
Organism: Pelobates cultripes (western spadefoot toad)
Lineage: Eukaryota; Metazoa; Chordata; Amphibia; Anura; Pelobatidae
Source: the annotation of a GenBank genome assembly
ACACACACAGACACACACACAAACAAUGCAACCCUUACACACAAUGCAUCCCUUACACACACACACAAACACACAAUGCAUUCCUUACACACACUCAAUGCACCCCUUACACACACUCAAUGCACCCCUUACACACGCACACACUGCAUCCUGUACAUACACAGAAACACACCUUGCAGCCCUUACACAUACAAACACAGAUUCACACAAUGCAUUCCUUACACACAUAUCAGGACAUCCCCUACACACUCCACCCCCUGUGAACAAACUCAUUGGUGGAACAUGAAGGUGGACCCUGGGACCCAGACCUUGAGCUGUGUAAAGGGCCCCCAAAAAAUGGAGCUGCUUACCGUUCUCC